RNAcentral lists this ribosomal RNA (324 nucleotides) under uncultured eukaryote. RNAcentral's name for it is "partial 18S ribosomal RNA". It matches the Rfam family "Eukaryotic small subunit ribosomal RNA", at positions 1470 to 1796 of the family's 1831-position model. The record is from RNAcentral.
CCCUUAGAUGUUCGGGGCCGCACGCGCGCUACACUGAAUGAAUCAGCGAGUGUAUGUCCUAGGCCGAAAGGUCCGGGUAACCCGUUGAACCUCAUUCGUGAUUGGGAUAGGGACUUGCAAUUGUUUCCCUUGAACGAGGAAUUCCCAGUAAGCGCAAGUCAUCAGCUUGCGUUGAUUACGUCCCUGCCCUUUGUACACACCGCCCGUCGCUCCUACCGAUUGAAUGUUCCGGUGAGCUCUUCGGACUGCGCGGUCUGCAGUUUCUGCGUUCCGUGCGGAAAGUUGCGCAAACCUUAACAUUUAGAGGAAGGAGAAGUCGUAACA